This 224-nucleotide unclassified non-coding RNA is filed under the name uncultured Micrococcaceae bacterium. RNAcentral's name for it is "contains 16S-23S intergenic spacer region". Lineage: Bacteria; Bacillati; Actinomycetota; Actinomycetes; Micrococcales; Micrococcaceae. The record is from RNAcentral.
UCCGAGUUGACCCCGGCAGUCUCCCAUGAGUCCCCGCCAUUACGCGCUGGCAACAUGGAACGAGGGUUGCGCUCGUUGCGGGACUUAACCCAACAUCUCACGACACGAGCUGACGACAACCAUGCACCACCUGUGAACCGGCCCCAAAGGGGAAACCACAUCUCUGCGGCGAUCCGGCCCAUGUCAAGCCUUGGUAAGGUGGGGAUGACGUAGGAGGAAUUCCA